This 2445-nucleotide small RNA is filed under the name Pongo abelii (Sumatran orangutan). Its description in RNAcentral is "retained intron". The record is from RNAcentral. Lineage: Eukaryota; Metazoa; Chordata; Mammalia; Primates; Hominidae.
AGUAAGUGCAGUAGGUAGGCCAAGAUAACUACUAAGUAUGUCCUAACAACUUAGUAGCUGCUUGAAAAAAAUAAUGCACAUAAAUUAAACAAAAAGAAAACAAUAUUUUCACUCAUUCUUAACUUCCUGUAAGGAUGUACUAACGGGAGGUGUGUGCCUGUUGGGCUGUCCACAGCUACUCAAACCUUGAGAUUAGAUUGGACGCUAUCACCUUCAUUUCCUGUUACACAGUAAGUUUUGCAUGGCACUUGCUUUUAAUCAUGACAACUGCCGUACACUCAGCUUCACAAAAUCAUGUCAUUGUGGAAAGGAAGGUCCCUCCAUCUAACAUUCAAACUUAACUAUCCUGAGCUGGCAGUUUGCAAGGUGUCCAACAGAUGUCACUGUGUUUCCUUCGCAGAUUCUCUAAAACAGUCUGCUGUGUCCCAGGGCAUAGUAGAUAUUCAAUAAAUGGUGGCUGUGAGUUUUAUGGGUGAGCAGCUGUUUGCAAGGCUAAAAUUCGGGCGAGGCACAGGCUUCCCCUUGGUCUUAGCAGCCAGCACAAGAUGAGUGUCCCUUCAGCCAGCCUCAGAGCUCUUUGGCAAUUCAACUGACCCUUGUCCUUCAGUCCAUACAACGCCCCAGGGCCCACCUGCAUUCAAACUCGGACUGUUCUCCUUCCCACCCCUAUUAUCUUUUCAACUUUAUGGACAGUACAUGCAAUUUUCUCAUUCAUUUUCUCAUUUAACAUCUAACAGCUUCAUGAUAUCCCCAUUUUACAGCUAAGGAAACCAAGGCUUUAAGAGGAUAGGGAACCUAAUCGGCUAAGGCAGAGUUAGGAUUUGAACCCAGAUCCCCAUGAUGCCAGAAUCUAAGCCUUGACUAAAUAUGUGUUACUAUUACUUUUGUUGUUGUUGUUGUUGUUCUGGGUAACUCCAACCCUCUGCUCAUUGGCCUUGUCACCUCAGUGCUGAUUUUGCAGAUGAAGAGACUAAGGUUCCAAGGUGCUAGAGCACAGUGGUUAGGAACACAGACUCUAGAGCCAGAGUGCCUGGGUUUGAGCCUUGUUCUGCCAUUUACUAGCCGUAUGACCUUGGGCAACUUGCUUAACUUCUCUUUGCCUCAGUCCCUCUUCUCUUGGGUUGUUAGGAGAAUGAAUGAGGUGAUAUCCACAGUGUCCAACACCCUGCAAGCGGCCAGUUGUGGUGGAUCACACCUGCAAUCCCAGCACUUUGGGAGGCCAAGGCAGGUGGAUCAUUUGAGGUCAGGAAUUCGAGACCAGCCUGUCCAACAUGGCGAAAACUCAUUUCUACUAAAAAUACAAAAAUUAGCCGGGCAUGGUGGCAAACAACUGUAAUCCAAGCUACUAGGGAGGCUGAGGCAGAAGAAUUGCUUGAACCCGGGAGACAGAGGUUGCAGUGAGCCAAGGUUGCGCCACUGCACUCCAGCCUGGGCAACAGAGUGAGACCCUGCCUCAAAAACUAAAAAUAAAAAAUGAACAGUGUCCAAUACCUUGAAAGCAUUCCGCAUGACUGAACAAUCACUGUUACGUGAUUACCAGCAUGACGACCCCACUCCUCUUGGCCAAACUGAGUUCUCUUCUUUGUAAAAACUUCUGCAUAUGAAGUCACCCAUUCCAUUUGACCCUUUAGCCCUCAUCCUGGCAUUCAAGGGCAUGGACGACUCAACCCCACUCUCUAGCCAGCCUGACCUCUCCAUUCCCUUCUCUGUCGUAGAGGCCACUCCCACCACCUGCCCUUACUCCCUGCCCGCUUUUGUCAGCCUGUACUGUGUUGAAGCUCCCAGGAGAGACAACUGCAGUCAUCGCUUUCCACUGUGUUCAGUGAUGUCAGUUCGGCCCAGCUGGGGGUAUUCACAUCAUGGAAACAGACCAUCAGAUUUGGCGUGUGUGUGUUUUAUUUUGCUUUUUCAGAGAGCCAGUUGUUAAACACUAGCCAACACCCCAUUGAUGCUGUUCCUUCUACCUGAAACACCUCAGAUUGCCGGUGAGCUCUAGAGACAAAAGGACCUGGGUCUGCAUUUCCCAAAGGCAAGAAUCUGGUAUCACCUGCAUAUUAUUUUCCCAUAUUUGAGCACCACUGCUUGUUGCAUUAUUUACUUAGCAGUUUUGCUCCUGUCAACUCACUUUUUUAAAACUAAACUUAUUUUAAAAAGAAAAGUUUUGGCCAGGCGCGGUGACUCACGCCUGUAAUCCCAGCACUUUGGGAGGCCGAGCUGGGCAGAUCACCUGAGGUCGGGAGUUCGAGACCAGCCUGACCAACAUGGAGAAACUCCGUCUCUACUAAAAAUACAAAAUUAGCUGGGCGUGGUGGCGCAUGCCUGUAAUCCUAGCUACUCGGGAGGCUGUGGCAGGAGAAUUGCUUGAACCCAGGAGGCGGAGGUUGCGGUGAGUCGAGAUGGCACCAUUGUACUCCAGCCUGGGGAACAAAUGUGAAACUCUGUCUC